RNAcentral lists this ribosomal RNA (465 nucleotides) under uncultured Klebsiella sp. RNAcentral describes it as "bacterial SSU rRNA". It matches the Rfam family "Bacterial small subunit ribosomal RNA", at positions 338 to 795 of the family's 1533-position model. The record is from RNAcentral. Lineage: Bacteria; Pseudomonadati; Pseudomonadota; Gammaproteobacteria; Enterobacterales; Enterobacteriaceae.
CCUACGGGGGGCAGCAGUGGGGAAUAUUGCACAAUGGGCGCAAGCCUGAUGCAGCCAUGCCGCGUGUGUGAAGAAGGCCUUCGGGUUGUAAAGCACUUUCAGCGGGGAGGAAGGCGUUAAGGUUAAUAACCUUGGCGAUUGACGUUACCCGCAGAAGAAGCACCGGCUAACUCCGUGCCAGCAGCCGCGGUAAUACGGAGGGUGCAAGCGUUAAUCGGAAUUACUGGGCGUAAAGCGCACGCAGGCGGUCUGUCAAGUCGGAUGUGAAAUCCCCGGGCUCAACCUGGGAACUGCAUUCGAAACUGGCAGGCUAGAGUCUUGUAGAGGGGGGUAGAAUUCCAGGUGUAGCGGUGAAAUGCGUAGAGAUCUGGAGGAAUACCGGUGGCGAAGGCGGCCCCCUGGACAAAGACUGACGCUCAGGUGCGAAAGCGUGGGGAGCAGACAGGAUUAGAUACCCUGGUAGUC